Topomyia yanbarensis is the source of this 3075-nucleotide long non-coding RNA. RefSeq lists it as uncharacterized. Lineage: Eukaryota; Metazoa; Arthropoda; Insecta; Diptera; Culicidae. The transcript has 3 exons. The record is from RefSeq and is a predicted model, not a curated record.
UAUACUGAAUGUUAUUUAAUCCGACUCUUACAGAGUAGAACCUCAGUUCGAUUUUUAUGCUUGAAGUUUAUAUAAGAAUUUCACAUUCAAACCAUUUGAAGCAGGUUUUACGAAGCAUGUUCUGUCCUUGCGAUUUUAUUUUUGGUCGUUCAUAUCCACUUGACAACACGUUCCAUGGCUACACUAGUGAACUCUAGUGAUAUGGAAAAACUCACUUUCUUCUUGCAUCUGAACCGUACACCAAAAAUUACGUAUCUGAUUCACGGUCCGCGAUCAUCCAAGAACACAUGCGAAUCUGCGAAAGGCACACGGUCAUAAAAUAUAAUUUAUACACGCGAAGUUACAUACACGUUAACAUACGCGACAUAGAAACUCACACGCGAUCGAAAACGUUAAUGUACAAACGCCUAAACCCUUCACUAUGAUACACGCAAUCGCGAACUCCCUACGCCCGCACAUAUCUGAACCGUAAAAUGAAUAUCACAUUCAGAAUCACGGCCCACUGAAAUUGGCCUUAAGUAGUUUAGUGGGUAACAUUUCCCGUCUCGUUUUCAAUUGUAUUGUUGAGAGUCCUGUCGAGACCCUAGCUCUACUGCUCCAGUAGGACAACUCUCGAGAAAAAUGUACUCUGGGUUUUAACUGGAGUGUGCGGCGAAGGGUUACUCCCCCACAUAUCGCACCGCCAUGUCCUAACCCCAACUCGUUAAACCCCCUCAGAUCCCUCUCCACCAGUCCCAUCAGACCCCGAUAAUCUAGGUCAAUCCAAUCUGAUCCCUUAGAUAAACAGCCAAAACAGUGCACCGUAUUAUUCGUAUAAUCUAUUCAAAUUUAUUCACAGAUUCGUUUUUUUCAGGUUUUGAACGUGAUCAUGGAAUUCGGUAAUUAUUCGUUUUCGUGACACGUAUUCAGGACUUUUUUUUGGUAGAAUUGUUUACACCUGAUCUCCAUGAUAGUCCACCCUGGACACUAAUCCAGACACAUUAACCUUCCCAGAAACCAGUGUCAUGCAAACUCGUUCGAGUCCAAAUGCUUUCCGAGUUUCAAAGUUUUGCGAUCGUCUAAAUAUUUCAAAUUAAUGGUAACGAUAAACUUUGUCGGAUAGAAAAACUUUCAGUAUAGUAAUAGUCUGUAUCACCUGGCAAUCUGACUUCCUUGAAUAGCACAAACCGUCGUCUUUUUAUAUCCUUGCAUUAUGGAAACUGUACAAAAGUAAGGACAAUAAGUAGUGGUCGAAAAAUGCAAGUGUUACUCCGGAGCUCCUAUUGAACCACUAAUAAUCUAAUCGUUGCACAAUUAUUUCGUGAUUACUUUGUGUGGAAAUGAACCACAACGGCAGCCGAUACACGUCGUUCGCCUUUGCUAGUGGAGGGAUCGCUGGCAGCGGCGGUGCCCGAGGGGAACUGAGCAGUGGUAAUUUGAGCAGAAAGCUGAGUAGUCCGAUGGCAGAGUCGACACAGCUGGACAGCAGCGGUAUCCGGGGGAAUCUUUACGACAGUCCGGUACAUGUUGGAGUUGGGAAAAGAAGCCUACCUCUCCGUUGCAAAAUAGCAGGACAAAUUUUAGAAGCAGCUGAACGGCGUCCGGGUCCAGUAUGGAUCGAUUGAUUGAUCCUAAGAUUUACACGGAUGUUCAGAGCCGAGGAUUGGUUAACCGGUUGGUAAAGAACCACGAUAAAACGCAAUCGCCGUUAAAUAGGAGUCAAUCGAUGACUAGCCUGUACUCGAAGCCGGGUCAAUUUCCUGUGUGGUGGAGGAGAAAUAAUUCUUCGAUAGCUACCAUUGGUUCGGAUUUCCCCGUCAGAGAAGUCCGUGUUUCAGGCUGACACAAGGUGAAACAUUUUACGGGAGGGAUCGUUGCUCAUUCCGGCGGAACCUCAUCUGAAGAUGGUCCGAACACAUAGACACGAGGAUAAGAUUGAUGCGGAAAAUAGUGUGAUUGCGCCUUCAACAGAACUGGAUGCCGAUUGGAUCAAGAAACAAUGUAAGGAACUAUCGGAGGUUGAUUCAGGCGAAGCUGGUACGAAGCAAGCUCGGGAAAUUACAUACACGGCUUCGCACCCGUGUCGAGGGUCGACGAAUCAGCAGCUACAGACGAAGAAAUGUAGUAAAAAUAAUAAGUUCACUUAGCUCGAGCCUGGUGAUGAACACUCCGAAAGUGGAACACGUAGCGCACCGGCCGGCACGAUUAAAUGUGGAUGUCUCUCGACGCCGGCAACAUUGGAUGCGACGGUUCCAGUUAGCAUGAUUGAAUCGAGCAAACCGGCAAAAUUAAGUAGGAUUGAUUCCGCUCCUUUGCCACAUAUUACGAGAAUUGUUCCGGAGUUUCAACUGCCUCUGAUGGAAUAUCCGCCACUAAAACUAACGUUGUUUAACAAAAAAUACAACGUCCAUGACAUGACGAAACGGUGGUUCGACCCACGUCCACAGACAGUGAAGAUAAGGAUGAUGAUGAUAAAGUAGGCGGACGAAUCAGUUUCAUUAAGCCAAAGGAUAAAUCGCCUAUGCCAAGGUUGUUUUGAAGAGGUUCGAGCGCUCGAAAUCAUCGUUGAUUCUGAGCUGCUUGAGUGAUGAUUUUGAUGAAGACGAGGAAUCGCCUAUAGUUACGCCAUCGCAGGGUUCAUUUUAUACGAUAGACACCGCGGAUGCACCACCGAAGGUUGAAGAGAAGAAACGGCUUCCGUCCCGACAAUGAGCGGUAUUUCAGCAAUAGUUAACAGCCCGAUCAAGGAUCCUGGCCUAGGUAACCGAAACCGGUGGAAAAUGUAAAAACGAUAGAGCAACCGAAGUAAACCACGGGAUUUGCUUUCGGAAGUACAACUGCUACCGUCAGCUCGGCUCCGGUUACAGCACAUCAAUCCGAUACAUAAUUUACGUUUGGGACGCCCACUUAACCGUUACUGCUAAAAUCAUAUCAUCGGAAAUACCACGUAUCGUUUUCCUGUGCUUGGAUUUCGGUACGUACGGAAUCGGACGGCGUUUAUGGCCGAUACCAUUUUAUCGGAAAAUAAUGCGAUUCGAGGUAUUAAUCACACGCCUACAUCAAAAAAUUAUAUAAUUUGCAACUAAUAUUUUAAAA